Engraulis encrasicolus (European anchovy) is the source of this 1362-nucleotide long non-coding RNA. RefSeq lists it as uncharacterized. The transcript is spliced from 3 exons. The record is from RefSeq and is a predicted model, not a curated record. NCBI's taxonomy places the organism in Eukaryota, Metazoa, Chordata, Actinopteri, Clupeiformes, Engraulidae.
UUGAAGUGACCCUUUGAAAUAAAAAGGUUCCUCACCCCUGCUUUUGAGGAAAAACAUCAAUGUGCUUGGCCACUCUGGUUUUUAAAUUAUUCUGAACUAAAGCAAGGAUUGUUCAAGGAAGUUCAAAACAGACUGUCUCUGGUUAAAUUAGUUCUACACCAAGCCUUUAGGUGGCAGUACAACUAAUUCGCACAAUGCGAAUUCCACACACAAGCCACAAAGAAGCCAUCUACCGCGGUCAACAACACCGACCUAUCUGAACAGAACCACGCGCUGUCUGUGUGGUUUCACUGUUACAAGUUUCUUGGCGACAUGGGGGAAAGUUCCUCACAUACCAACGGAAAAUGGGCUUCACAUACAUGCUGCUGUCUCAUAAUAUGGCGAAGACGAGUCACUUGAAGGCCUAACAGCUCUUAUGAGGAGCAGUCUUGCCAUAGAAGACUGAAAGAAUGAGCUGUAGAAACAACAGGGUGCCUGCUGCAGUAUGACGAGGACGCCCUGAUCAUAGAAGGUCCAGUGUCUUGGCAGGGUGAAAUGGCACUGAUAUCGGUAUGUGGUGAUAUCAGUUAAAAUUAAUGAAUUAAUUCUCAUAUCUGAAUAAUGUGAACACUGGAUUUACCACACACUCACACACACCCUAGUCCUAGAUUAUACAACCAAGGUUACUUUUACCACAGCUCUGGCACUGCAUCAAAUUUCUUUUCUUUUUUAUAGAACUGGACAGGUCAUUUAUUCGUUCCCCUUGUUUUUUGCAGUGUCCUGCAGGAUGCUGUGUCCUGCAAUCCUGUGUGCUGUGCUACAGACGCGUGUGGAGGUCAACCCGAAAUGGGCACAGUAGAGUGAAAGAGGGUAAGCUUAACCUAUAGCCUACGUCAGGGUUGGGGAACCUUUCUCAUUCGAAUGGCCACUUCAAAUUCAUCCGAGGGGCCAUAAAAGUCCUCCAAGGGCCGUACUAUGAACACAAACCAGGAUUUUCCCUUUCACUUUAGGCCUAUAUUGAAGGCAGCCACAUUUAAACAAACGCCAACUUCUUCAGGUUCCCUGAAUAUAACUUAAUUGUAUUGCUAAUGUAUUUUCUAAGAUUCCUUUACAAAAUAUGUCAUAUUUCAUGUGAAGAUGGAAUUGCAUUAAAAUUAUAUCGGGGGCCGGAUAAAACAGCCUCAAGGGUCGCAAACGGCCCUAGAGACAUAGGUUCCCCACCCCUGUCCUACAUUGUCAAUAUGACUUGUGCUACUUUAUAGAUAAGUUGUCAAUGCUGUGCAUUGCUAUGUUUUGAUUUAUUUUCUUACAUCCUACAGAUCCUGGCAGGGAGACGGUAGUGUCCUGCAGGAUGGUGAUGGGCAAUCUUACAAGAGACCACAG